RNAcentral lists this long non-coding RNA (415 nucleotides) under Mytilus galloprovincialis (Mediterranean mussel). The record is from RNAcentral. Lineage: Eukaryota; Metazoa; Mollusca; Bivalvia; Mytilida; Mytilidae.
UAUAUUUCUUGACUUUAUUGUUUCUAAUGCUAUCAAAUGUUUACAAGUCUGAAUAAGCCUCAAUUUAUAUAUAAGUACAGAAGGAGAUUUAGUAUAAUUGAUAAUGAGAAAACUAUCAACUAGAAUUCAAAUGAUGUGGAUGUGAACUAUUAUAGGUCUUUGUACAGCCUUCAACUAUGAAAAAAAGACCCAUACCAUAGUCAGCUAAAAAAGGCCCCAACAUGAAAAUGUAGAACAAUUAAAAAAAGAAAACUAGCAGCCUACCUUAUAACCAGAUGUAUUGCAGGGCACAGCUUUAUACAACCACAGACGUUGAACCCUGAACAGUUGGGGCAAGUAUGGACACAACAUUCAAGCUUGAUACAGCUCUUAAUUUGGAUUGUGAUUAAAUAGUUGACAUAGAAUGAAUGUGGUC